GAUGAACGCUGGCGGCGUGCCUAACACAUGCAAGUCGAGCGGCAGCGCGGGGUGCUUGCACCCUGUCGGCGAGCGGCGGACGGCUGAGUAACGCGUGGGAACGUGCCCCAAAGUGAGGAAUAACUGCCCGAAAGGGUAGCUAAUACCGCAUAUUAUCUUCGGAUCAAAGGACUUAUCCGCUUUGGGAGCGGCUCGCGUCGGAUUAGGUAGUUGGUGAGGUAAUGGCUCACCAAGCCGACGAUCCGUAGCUGGUCUGAGAGGAUGACCAGCCAGACUGGAACUGAGACACGGUCCAGACUCCUACGGGAGGCAGCAGUGAGGAAUCUUCCACAAUGGGCGAAAGCCUGAUGGAGCAACGCCGCGUGCAGGACGAAGGCCUUCGGGUUGUAAACUGCUUUUAUAAGUGAGGAAUAUGACGGUAACUUAUGAAUAAGGAUCGGCUAACUACGUG
This 451-nucleotide ribosomal RNA is filed under the name uncultured bacterium. Its description in RNAcentral is "partial 16S ribosomal RNA". It matches the Rfam family "Bacterial small subunit ribosomal RNA", at positions 28 to 507 of the family's 1533-position model. The record is from RNAcentral.